Molecule: ribosomal RNA, 465 nt
Filed under: Vreelandella stevensii
Lineage: Bacteria; Pseudomonadati; Pseudomonadota; Gammaproteobacteria; Oceanospirillales; Halomonadaceae
Description: partial 16S ribosomal RNA
Rfam family: Bacterial small subunit ribosomal RNA
Source: RNAcentral
CCUACGUGUGGCUGCAGUGGGGAAUAUCGGACAAUGGGCGAAAGCCUGAUCCAGCCAUGCCGCGUGUGUGAAGAAGGCCUUCGGGUUGUAAAGCACUUUCAGUGGGGAAGAAAGCCUUGGGGCUAAUACCCUCGAGGAAGGACAUCACCCACAGAAGAAGCACCGGCUAACUCCGUGCCAGCAGCCGCGGUAAUACGGAGGGUGCGAGCGUUAAUCGGAAUUACUGGGCGUAAAGCGCGCGUAGGCGGUCUGAUAAGCCGGUUGUGAAAGCCCCGGGCUCAACCUGGGAACGGCAUCCGGAACUGUCAGGCUAGAGUGCAGGAGAGGAAGGUAGAAUUCCCGGUGUAGCAGUGAAAUGCGUAGAGAUCGGGAGGAAUACCAGUGGCGAAGGCGGCCUUCUGGACUGACACUGACGCUGAGGUGCGAAAGCGUGGGUAGCAAACAGGAUUAGAUACCCCGGUAGUC